Molecule: ribosomal RNA, 491 nt
Filed under: Allochroa sp. BD-2011
Lineage: Eukaryota; Metazoa; Mollusca; Gastropoda; Ellobiida; Ellobiidae
Description: partial 16S ribosomal RNA
Rfam family: Bacterial large subunit ribosomal RNA
Source: RNAcentral
CUCGUCUGUUUAGCAAAAACAUAUCCUGGUGGGAAGAUACCAGGUGAGCCCUGCCCAGUGAAGCAUUUAACGGCCGCAGUACCCUGACUGUGCUAAGGUAGCGUAAUCAGUUGGCUUUUAAAUGGAGUCGAGAAUGAAUGGGUUAAUGGGGAGAGGCUGUCUCUACGUGGAAUUAUUGAAUUUAUUUAGUGGGUGAAAAUACCCAUCUAUAGAAAAAAGACGAGAAGACCCUAAGAAUCUUAACGAAUUAGGCUAAUAUCAGCCUCCAGUUCUUGUUGGGGCGACAGCGAGGCAGGCUAAUUCUUGACAACCCUCGUAAUAAUAAAAAACAGGACAAAAUUGCUAAGACAGAGUAGAUUACCUUAGGGAUAACAGCAUAAUUUUUAAAAGUUUGUGACCUCGAUGUUGGACUAGGGCCCCUACGACUAGCCGUCGUAACGGCGAGAUCUGUUCGAUCUUCUUCCCCUACAUGAUCUGAGUUCAGACCGGAG